GUGCUCACUUCAGCAGCACAUUUACUCAAAUUGGAAGGAUUCAGAGAUCAGCAUGGCCCCUGUUCAAGGACUAUACACAAAUUUUUUUUUUUUAAGAUUUUACU
This 104-nucleotide small nuclear RNA is filed under the name Canis lupus familiaris (dog). The record is from RNAcentral. Lineage: Eukaryota; Metazoa; Chordata; Mammalia; Carnivora; Canidae.